CUGGCUCGAGACGAACGCUGGCGGCGUGCCUAAUACAUGCAAGUCGAACGGUCUUUCUAUGGAAGCUUGCUUCCACUGAGAAGAUAGUGGCGAACGGGUGAGUAACACGUGGGUAACCUGCCCAUAAGAGGGGGAUAACAUCCGGAAACGGGUGCUAAUACCGCAUAGUUUUCUUGAUCGCAUGAUUGAGAAAGGAAAGACGGCCUUUGUGCUGUCGCUUAUGGAUGGACCCGCGCGUAUUAGUUAGUUGGUGAGGUAACGGCUCACCAAGACGAUGAUACGUAGCCGACCUGAGAGGGUGAUCGGCCACAUUGGGACUGAGACACGGCCCAAACUCCUACGGGAGGCAGCAGUAGGGAAUCUUCCGCAAUGGACGAAAGUCUGACGGAGCAACGCCGCGUGAGUGAAGAAAAGGUUUUCGGAUCGUAAAACUCUGUUGUCAGAGAAGAACAAGUUGGAGAGUAACUGCUCCAGCCUUGACGGUAUCUGACCAGAAAGCCACGGCUAACUACGUGCCAGCAGCCGC
Molecule: ribosomal RNA, 526 nt
Filed under: uncultured bacterium
Lineage: Bacteria
Description: bacterial SSU rRNA
Rfam family: Bacterial small subunit ribosomal RNA
Source: RNAcentral